Molecule: ribosomal RNA, 465 nt
Filed under: Vreelandella stevensii
Lineage: Bacteria; Pseudomonadati; Pseudomonadota; Gammaproteobacteria; Oceanospirillales; Halomonadaceae
Description: partial 16S ribosomal RNA
Rfam family: Bacterial small subunit ribosomal RNA
Source: RNAcentral
CCUACGGGCGGCAGCAGUGGGGAAUAUUGGACAAUGGGGGCAACCCUGAUCCAGCCAUGCCGCGUGUGUGAAGAAGGCCCUCGGGUUGUAAAGCACUUUCAGUGAGGAAGAACGCCUGGUGGUUAAUACCCAUCAGGAAAGACAUCACUCACAGAAGAAGCACCGGCUAACUCCGUGCCAGCAGCCGCGGUAAUACGGAGGGUGCGAGCGUUAAUCGGAAUUACUGGGCGUAAAGCGCGCGUAGGUGGCUUGAUAAGCCGGUUGUGAAAGCCCCGGGCUCAACCUGGGAACGGCAUCCGGGACUGUCCAGCUAGAGUGCCGGAGAGGAAGGUAGAAUUCACGGUGUAGCGGGGAACGGCGUAGCGAUCGGGAGGAAUACCAGUGGCGAAGGCGGCCUUCUGGACUGACACUGACACUGAGGUGCUAAAGCGUGGUUAGCAGACAGAAUUAGAGACCCUUGUAGUC